Molecule: long non-coding RNA, 3358 nt
Filed under: Anas platyrhynchos platyrhynchos (common mallard)
Lineage: Eukaryota; Metazoa; Chordata; Aves; Anseriformes; Anatidae
Description: lncRNA (ENSAPLG00000018676.1)
Source: RNAcentral
CAAGGCAGGCAGAGAGAGACCCUCACAGGUCCCCAGCACCACCGAGGGUGGAACAGCACAAGACCUGAAGCGACUGCAGCCGGGCAGAUAAAGUCAGACAGACGGCGAUGCCAGGCGCUGCCCCCCCAGCACCCAGGUGAGCAGCGGCACCUCCGACACAACUUUGGGGUCACCGCAGAAGCCCCAGCAGCGGGGAGGGGGGGAACCAGGGGACGGCUGGGCCCCGGGGGAGCAGAAAGAAGCCAAGAGGCGAGCCGAUGGCCGGUCAGCCCUCACCAGCACGGCACUGCCCUGCCUGCUAAGCACAGGCCGGCUGAGUCAUCCCUCGGAGCAACUUCGCUGCCAGGGCUCCUCCGCCGAGCCGCGGGCAGGGAGCGCCCCAACCCACCCGGGGGUGCCCCCCCCCCCCCCACUACCACCACCACCACCGCGCCGCACCCCGGCUCCUCGCCUCCUAGCCGAGCCCCCCUGCUGCAAGACGAGGGAGCCGGGCAGCCCCCCGCCAGCCUCCCCGCGGCUCCCUACGAGCCCCAUCCCCGUCCUCCCCCCCCCCCCCCCCCCGCAGCGCCACUCACCCCGGGGGCCGGCGGCGGCAGCGGGCGGGCAGGAGGGAGGGAGGCAGCGGCGCCCCCCCGGGCCCGGCGGCUGGGCGGGGACCCCCCGCCCCGGGCGCUGAAGGCAGGCGGGGAGCGGGCGGUGCGGGGCCGGGGGAGCCGGGGCGCAGCCGCCGCCGCUGUUUGUUAUUGUCGGCAGCCGCUUCCGCAGCCGGGGGACGCCGGGAGGGGGCGGCCCCGGGGGGGGAGGGACCGGGCGGCGGAAGCGGCGGGGCCGGGCGGGGCCGGGCUGCGCCUCAGCAAAGCGCCGCGGCAGCGACCGCCGGGGUCAUUUCAGCCCCCACCAACCUUAAAAAGGCCCCAUCUGCCCGCCCCAGGUCCCCCUGCCGCCUUCCCAAGUUGUCUCAUGAGAUUAUUUAUUUAUUUAUUUUGGUACGAAGCAGCCCCUGAGCUUCCUGGGGGCUGGCCUCUUGCUCCUGCGCUGAGAAAGCGAAAAUAAACUUUGCACGCCUCGCUUUCGGGUUUCCCUUUUGUUUUUGGUUUCUCCGGUGGUGCGGUCACCUACAAAAGAGCGAGGCAGAGGGCGGCGUGAGGGGGCUUCGGCCUCGGCUGCCUGUGGGGUUGAGGACAUCCUCACAAGAAGCAAGGCUUCCUUGCAUCAUGCCUUCUCCUUAUCAUGUUAUUUGUGUUAUAUUUUCUGUGUAUUGCUGGGUCAUGUCUUCUGUGCUGCAGCACCGUGACCUUUUCCUGUAACGUGUACCAUAGGCAGCAGGUCAGGGAGUAUCACACAGAAUCACAGAAUUUCUAGGUUGGAAGAGACCUCAAGAUCAUCGAGUCCAACCUCUGACCUAACGCUAACAGUCCCCACUAAACCAUAUCCCUAAGCUCUACGUCUAAAUGUCUUUUAAAGACCUCCAGGGAUGGUGACUCCACCACUUCCCUGAGCAGCCUGUCCCAAUGUCUAACAACCCUUUUGGUAAAGAAGUUCUUCCUAAGGUCCAACCUAAAACUCCCCUGGCACAACUUAGAAGAAAUUCAAAGCACGAUGCCCCGGUCAGAAUAGGAAGAGAGCACAUGAGAGGAGGAAUGCAAAGCGAGAGCACAGGCAGCUCAUUUUCAGCCUGCAGGACAGAUGCAGUUAGUAAAAUAACUAGGGCCAUUAUAUAGCGCGUUUUCUUCCCCUCACCUGAGGUUUCCUCUUAGGCCUGUUUAAAUCCCAAGUGCACAGCCCUUCACCCAAUUUUAUUUUUUCUUUAGUUCAUCAGCCAGAAAACACACUUUCUCACAAGCUAGACCAGGCUUAUGGUUCUCGCAGUAAACUCUGAAGUAGUUCCUUCUGUCAGAUUGAAGAGCUUGCUGCCUGCCUGUCAUGUUAAAUAACAUUGAGCAGCCACAGCUUGUGCAGACAGGUAUUUGUUCCUGGAAAACACCACUGCUGUGGGAUUUUGCAAGUAAAUAAGGCCUUGCUACCCCCAGUUGCCACCUUGUGGCACCUGAUACCCAGUGCUUUCAGACUGCUGGAGCUUGUUGGGAUACAUGGCCUAGUUACCCACAUUGUGGAAGACAACUCUGGCACUUCGGAGUACAGCCGUGACUGGAGUGGAGAAGGCAUUGCUACUGAAAUGAGCACACGUGAUUUUAUGGGAAAUAUGAUCGGGGCAAUUGAGCAAUUCAGGGCAGCUUUGGGUAAUUUAACUUUGAUUACAUCAGUCAGGUGUUCUACAGAAGUUUAACUUUUUUUUUAUCUCCAAAAAUGGUCUUUUCCUUCAUAAAUUAAUUGAAUGUGAUGAAGGAUUGAUCUUCUGUACUGUGAAGGGAAUGACAUCCAGCUAGAACUUAACAAGUGCUAUAUAUACUCUAAACAGGGAGGUAAGCCAAAGUUAAAAAACAACAUUGAGGUUUAGUAAGCCUGAAGCACCAGAGAGCCUCAUUGAACUUGUCUGGCCAAGUAUCUUGAGGAGAUACUGCUGGGAGUUACCUGUUGCAGUUUGAGGGUCAAUGAGAGAAGCAACAGCAGAUACUCAGGCACUGAAGUGGCGGUGCCAACAGGCUUGGUAGUUUCCUAACAAAGAACCUCUGCCAUUCAGGCUUUCAGCAAUUGCAUAAAGGCUCUAGGCACUGAAGAAGGGCUGUACAGUCUUUGCCAGCACGUGCAGGACACCUUGAUUUCAGGGGCAGCUCAGGAAGGACUGAAGCAGGAACAGGAGUAAGCAAAGCACUGCUAGCAGAGCAGGUUGGUCUGGCUUGAUCUUGUAACAUUUCAUUAUGUUGCUUCCUCUCAAAGUGAUCCAGAGCCACUUCAUGCCAAGCAACUAAUUACAGUGUGUGUGUGUUGUUUUUUUUUCUUUUCCACGAACCUGUCUGAACAAAAACAAGCAAAAGUUUAACAUAAUAUCUAGCACAUCUGCCCUGAAAAGCUGUAUUUUAUGAAGACUAUUUUGCUCCAGGACAUAUAUAUAAAAGGCUUUAAUUUGGGGUUGCUGAUGAUUCUUCACAUUUCCAAAGCGCUGUAUUUAAGUUAUUAUUCUUUCAACUUAUUGUUCAGGAUUCACCGGUACAUUGUUUUCACAUUCUGUAAAACAGCCAAGGAGGUUGAAGGAGUUUUUCACUGUGUGCUUUUAAUUUGGGGAGCUAAAUUUGGCGUACCAAGGAAUGUGUCUCUUAGGUUGUAUGUUCAUGCAGCUGUAGCUGGGGAGCAAAAAGAAAGCGGUGCUCUGCGAGGGCAGGCAAGCUGGCAGCCGAGGCUGAUGGCGAGGUUGGCAGGGGCACUGUCUGUGAAUAAAUAGUGCAGUCCCACUGUAACA